Non-coding RNA from Callithrix jacchus (white-tufted-ear marmoset), 1703 nucleotides. The record is from RefSeq and is a predicted model, not a curated record. Lineage: Eukaryota; Metazoa; Chordata; Mammalia; Primates; Cebidae.
CCACCCCUCGGCAGUAGGCAGCUCUGUAACUGACGUGUUUGCCGCCCUUUAUGAGCGUUUUUGAAGCGUUUCCUUCGCCCAGCAGCAGGACUGGGAAUGAGGGCAGGUGGUCUGUCAAAUAUCUGCAAUACUUUUUAGGCCUAGGAGGGAGUUUUCAUUCUUAUCUCCAUUCUACAGAUGAGGAAGUUGGGACCCAGAGAAGCAUAGUGAUCUGACUCCCAGUCCAGUGCUCUUCCUACCACAUCCUGCUAAAUGAUACCCAGACAUAGGACCUUGCAUCUAGUGAAAUUCCUCUGGUUUCCAAAUCUCCACCUACCAAAUGCCAACUUUGAAGACUUAGCUCCAGUGCCAUUUCCUCCAUGAAGACUUCCUUCAAGCUUCUUAGCUCUCUGCUGAGGUACAAGUGCACUUUGAAAACAUGCACGGAUCAAGCAUGAUAGCUGUUACAUUCCCUACUGGGCUGUGUCCAUAACUUCCCAAGGUGAAGGAUGAUGAACUGUGUCUUAAUAUUUACCUGUCUAUUCCCUACAGCACCUACCAAGAGACGGUUAUUGCAUUUCUACCUCAGGUCAGAAACUGCUCAAAAGUGAAAUGAAUUAUGAUAUACUAGUUCACAAAUGGAGACACUGCAACAAGUACCCUGUAAUGUGACCUGGCUCUCAGGAUAAAACCAAUCCAUGAUAAAGCUCAAGGAAUGGGACAAGGGCAGGCAGUUUGGGCUACACAUUUUUGAGUCAAGAAAUCUGGGAUUGAGGUUCUGCUUUUUGUCAUUUGCUAGCUACGGCUUGGCACCAGGUGGUUCUUCUCUGAGCAUCAUUUCCUUCCUUCUGCAUGGCUUCACGGGAUUAAGAAUAAAAUGAGACACAUUUGUGAAUGCUACAUCAGUGAUUCUCAAUCCCAAUUAUGCAUCAUAAUCCCCUGUAAAGCUUCUGAAAAGUACAGAGGACAAUUCCCCAGCCCAGGUCAAUUGAAUCAGAAUCCUCUGGAAGUGGGACGCAGUGUGACUAAUUAUCUAUAAAAUGCUGUUUCUAAUGCAUAGCCAAGGUUAGAAGCUACUGUUAUAAACUCAUAAGUACCAUUAACAGUAGAGCAAGGUGCUUUAGGCUGCUGGUUUAAUUAUCCUCUAUGUGUAAAGUUAGAAAUUAGUUCAAUGCUUUUAUAGUUCCUUAAAAUACACUACUGUGUGAAAGCAUUUUUUGUGUUCUUCUGCAUUGUUUUCUGUAUGGUUAUAAGUUCUGAGAGAGAGAAUUAUAUCUAGCACCACUGUACAUAAAGACAUACCUAAACCAAAUUUUUGAGAAAAAAUAAAAACUUCAGAGUCCUCUGAAACCUUGCUGUUCAGAAGUAUGGUGACCAAACAAGCAGAACUGGCAUAAACUAGGAACUUGCAAGAAAUGUAGAAUCUCAGACCCCACUCCGUACCCUGCAUAUUAACGAGGUUCUUAGAUGCGUCAAUAGGUGAAGCAAAGGCAGUCUUUGCUCAGUUCAUAUAUAUGUUUAGGGUCUGCUGUUCCCUGUCCUAAUCCUGAAAAGGUAAGAGGGCAUGAAGCAUUGGGUUCUGUCUUCUACAAACCACUGAAGAUUGGGGCUUUAUCCCGAUGCUUCUUUCUCUAAAGGGUCCAUUUGGUAAAAACUAAAUUAAGAACAUAAAUCCUUAUAAAAGGAUCCUUUCUUUCAAAGAAGACUAGUCUUCACAGGCUUCU